RNA transcript from Canis lupus familiaris (dog), 2415 nucleotides. It is a transcript of the gene named NAD synthetase 1, with no coding region annotated. The record is from RefSeq and is a predicted model, not a curated record. Lineage: Eukaryota; Metazoa; Chordata; Mammalia; Carnivora; Canidae. The transcript is spliced from 21 exons.
CUGCGGCCCGGACCCGGCGGACCCGCGCGGCGACCCGGAAGGGCCCGAGCUGCCGCCGCCGCGAUGGGCCGGAAGGUGACGGUGGCCGCCUGCGCGCUCAACCAGUGGGCCCUGGACUUCCAGGGCAAUCUGCAGCGGAUCUUAAAGAGUAUUGAAAUUGCCAAACGCAAAGGAGCAAGAUACAGGCUGGGACCAGAACUGGAAAUAUGUGGCUAUGGAUGUUGGGAUCAUUAUUAUGAGUCGGACACCCUCUUGCACUCGCUCCAAGUCCUGGCUGCCCUUCUUGAAUCUCCAGUCACUCAGGAUAUCAUCUGUGAUGUGGGAAUGCCAGUGUUGCACCGGAAUGUCCGCUACAACUGCAGGGUGAUAUUCCUCAAUAGGAGGAUCUUGCUCAUCAGGCCCAAAAUGGCCUUGGCCAACGAAGGCAACUACCGGGAGCUGCGCUGGUUCACCCCGUGGUCAAGGAGCCGGCAAACAGAGGAGUAUUUUCUCCCCCGGAUGAUACAGGACGUGACAAAGCAGGAAACUGUGCCCUUUGGAGACGCAGUGCUGGCCACCCGGGACACCUGCAUUGGGAGUGAGAUCUGCGAGGAGCUCUGGACACCCCACAGCCCACACGUGGACAUGGGUCUGGAUGGCGUGGAGAUUUUUACCAAUGCCUCGGGCAGCCACCACGUGCUGCGCAAAGCCCACGCCAGAGUGGACCUGGUGACCAUGGCCACCACCAAGAAUGGUGGGAUCUACUUGCUGGCCAAUCAGAAGGGCUGUGAUGGGGACCGGCUCUACUAUGACGGGUGUGCCCUGAUAGCGAUGAACGGCCACAUUUUCGCACAAGGGUCUCAGUUCUCUCUGGACGACGUGGAAGUCCUCACCGCAACUUUGGAUUUGGAGGAUGUCCGAAGCUACAGGGCGGAGAUUUCAUCUCGAAACCUGGCGGCCAGCCGGGUGAGCCCCUACCCCCGAGUGAAGGUGGACUUUGCUCUCUCAUGCCGCGAGGACUUGCUGGAGCCGCCGUCUGAGCCCGUCGAGUGGAUGUACCACAGUCCGGCUGAGGAGAUCAGCCUGGGACCCGCCUGCUGGCUCUGGGACUUUUUAAGACGCAGCCGACAGGCCGGGUUUUUCUUGCCCCUGAGUGGUGGGGUGGACAGCGCAGCCACCGCCUGCCUCGUCUACUCCAUGUGCCGCCAGGUCUGCGAGGCCGUGAGGAACGGAAACCAGGAAGUGCUGGCUGAUGUCCGGGCCAUCGUGGACCAGCUCAGCUACACACCCCAGGACCCCCGAGACCUCUGCGGGCGCCUGCUGACGACCUGCUACAUGGCCAGCGAGAACUCGUCCCAGGAGACAUGUGACAGAGCCAAGGAGCUGGCCCAGCAGAUCGGAAGCCACCACAUUGGUCUCAACAUCGACCCAGCAGUGACAGCCGUCGUGGGGAUCUUCAGCCUGGUGACGGGUAAGAGGCCUCUGUUCGCGGCUCACGGUGGAAGCAGCAGGGAGAACCUGGCGCUACAGAACGUGCAGGCUCGGCUAAGGAUGGUCCUGGCAUAUCUGUUUGCUCAGCUGAGCCUCUGGGCCCGGGGCGCUCGUGGUGGACUGCUGGUGCUGGGGUCAGCCAACGUGGACGAGAGUCUCCUGGGCUACCUGACCAAGUACGACUGCUCCAGUGCAGACAUCAACCCCAUAGGUGGGAUCAGCAAGACGGACCUCAAGGCCUUCGUCCACUUCUGCAUGGAACACUUCCAGCUUCCCGCCCUGCAGCGGCUCAUGGGCACUGUGGCAGCCAUCAUGACUAGCCUCUGUGUGUCUUGGCCACAGCAUCCUGGCAGCACCGGCCACCGCAGAGCUGGAGCCCUUGACCGACGGACAGGUGUCCCAGACUGACGAGGAAGACAUGGGCAUGACGUACGCGGAGCUCUCUGUCUACGGCAGGCUCCGGAAGAUCGCCAAGGCCGGGCCCUACAGCAUGUUCUGCAAGCUCGUCAACAUGUGGAAAGACGCGUGUUCCCCAAGGCAGGUGGCUGACAAAGUGAGGCAGUUUUUCUCGAAAUACGCCAUGAACAGACACAAGAUGACCACGCUCACGCCCGCCUACCACGCAGAGAGCUACAGCCCCGACGACAACAGGUUUGACCUGCGGCCGUUUCUAUACAACAGCAGCUGGCCUUGGCAGUUUCGGUGCAUAGAAGAUCAGGUUCAUCAGCUGGAGAGCAGAGGCCGUCAGGACCUGGAUGGCGUGGACUGAUGCCGGCUCCUGCACGGGAGGGCCCCCCACCACCAGGGUCCCUGGUGUUACGUCGGCCUCGCCAGUAAUCUGCCCAGAGAGUGCACCAGCAUCCUGUUUCACGUCUGAUGGGAGAGGGGUCUUUUCAUUCUAGUUCGUUAAAAAAGACUCAAAUAAAGAGCAUGUGAUUUCUGGGA